UACGUAGGGGGCAAGCGUUGUCCGGAAUUACUGGGCGUAAAGGGCGCGUAGGCGGCCUUCUAAGUCGGACGUGAAAUCCCUCGGCUUAACCGAGGAACUGCGUCCGAUACUGAAAGGCUUGAAUCCGGGAGAGGGAUGUGGAAUUCCAGGUGUAGCGGUGAAAUGCGUAGAUAUCUGGAGGAACACCGGUGGCGAAGGCGGCAUCCUGGACCGGCAUUGACGCUGAGGCGCGAAAGCUAGGGGAGCAAACGGG
This 253-nucleotide ribosomal RNA is filed under the name uncultured bacterium. Its description in RNAcentral is "partial 16S ribosomal RNA". It matches the Rfam family "Bacterial small subunit ribosomal RNA", at positions 524 to 776 of the family's 1533-position model. The record is from RNAcentral.